GGAGAUGUGCCUGCUGGGUUCCAACAAGGAGCGCAGAGGGGCGGGAAGCAUCCUACGGGGGGGGGGCCCCUCCUAGGAAAGGACACCAGGUCCCUGUGAAGGCUACGGAUGGUGAAAUCUGUCCUCCUCUCUUUCAGCUUCUGGUUUUCCUCCUCUUUUGUUUUUCCUAAUUCUAGUUUAGCCUCCACCCUGCAUCCAAGCCAAUGACCAAAGAGGCUUCGUUAUGACAUCGGAUCCUAAAAGGAGGCCGAGCUCUGGCUACCGGGUUCGGGAAUGAUCAUUGCCUAGGUGUAUGCUAAUCCCCUGAAUUCAUGCCUUCACGGCCCUUCUCUCCCUGCAGAACGAGGGGAAGACGCUAUAAACCACGACUGCAGAGGUGCUGGAGGCACGGAGAUGUGCCUGCUGGGUUCCAACAAGGAGCGCAGAGGGGCGGGAAGCAUCCUACGGAGGGGGGGGCCCCUCCUAGGAAAGGACACCAGGUCCCUGUGAAGGCUACGGAUGGUGAAAUCUGUCCUCCUCUCUUUCAGCUUCUGGUUUUCCUCCUCUUUUGUUCUUCCUAAUUCUAGUUUAGCCUCCACCCUGCAUCCAAGCCAAUGACCAAAGAGGCUUCGUUAUGACAUCGGAUCCUAAAAGGAGGCCGAGCUCUGGCUACCGGGUUCGGGAAUGAUCAUUGCCUAGGUGUAUGCUAAUCCCCUGAAUUCAUGCCUUCACGGCCCUUCUCUCCCUGCAGAACGAGGGGAACCACAGGUCUUACAAUGAAAGACGCCCACUUCCACUCGGGCGGGACUGUCCCUUGUGGAGGACGUCAUCUGGGCCAAGUAGUGCAAGCGGGGAGAUCAAGAAUAGGUCCCAGGUGAGACAUAAGCAAGCACUUACUUUGAUGUCAUGCUUUAUUUGUUCAUCCAUUUAUUAUUUGUUAAAUAUUGUAGUUUUAUGUCCUCUCUAUACCCAACAUGGAGUUUAAACUCACAACCCAGAGAUCAAGAUCCCCCAACCAGGCCAGCCAGGCACCCCAGUGCCAUGUUUCAUAACUCUUUGCUUCCUUGCCUAUCUCUGCAUCGAACUGGAACAUUGAGUCCUUGACGGGGAGCUUUAGUUACCUCCGAAUCCUAGAACGUUCUCACUGUAUCCCAAUCCUAGAUUGACAUUUACCAUUGAAUAGCACUUUAAAUAAAUAGUCAGUAAAAUAACUACUACAGUAAAGGAAAUUAUCAACUUUUCAUGUGUCUGGGCCCUGCUCCCUGGGCUCCCGGGGAAGCUAUGGUUUCUUUAACAUUGAUCAAGGUCCAAAUGACUCCACCACACCUCAAAGCAUGGGCUCAGUUUCUGCCCUGAGACAUGCAACACCCUUGCUUCAAUUAACAUGUAUCAAUCAAUCAAAGGGAGCCUGACCGGAAUGGUGUGGUUCAUAAGAACAUGGGACUCUUGUUCUUGGGGUAGCAAGUUCAAGCCCCAUGUUGGGUG
This 1464-nucleotide long non-coding RNA is filed under the name Canis lupus familiaris (dog). RNAcentral describes it as "lncRNA (ENSCAFG00000052116.1)". The record is from RNAcentral. Lineage: Eukaryota; Metazoa; Chordata; Mammalia; Carnivora; Canidae.